CCUGGCUCAGGAUGAACGCUAGCUACAGGCUUAACACAUGCAAGUCGAGGGGCAGCAUUUUUCUAGCAAUAGAAGAGAUGGCGACCGGCGCACGGGUGAGUAACACGUAUCCAACCUGCCGAUAACUCCGGGAUAGCCUUUCGAAAGAAAGAUUAAUACCGGAUAGUAUACGAAUAUCGCAUGAUAUUUUUAUUAAAGAAUUUCGGUUAUCGAUGGGGAUGCGUUCCAUUAGUUUGUUGGCGGGGUAACGG
This 251-nucleotide ribosomal RNA is filed under the name uncultured bacterium. RNAcentral's name for it is "partial 16S ribosomal RNA". It matches the Rfam family "Bacterial small subunit ribosomal RNA", at positions 18 to 263 of the family's 1533-position model. The record is from RNAcentral.